GUGCUCACUUCAGCAGCACAUAUACUAAAAUUAGAAGGAUACAGAGAAGAUUAGCAUGGCCCCUGCACAAGGAUGACAUGCAAAUUCGUGAAGUGUUCCAUAUUUUU
This 107-nucleotide small nuclear RNA is filed under the name Suricata suricatta (meerkat). The record is from RNAcentral. Lineage: Eukaryota; Metazoa; Chordata; Mammalia; Carnivora; Herpestidae.